This 500-nucleotide ribosomal RNA is filed under the name uncultured bacterium. Its description in RNAcentral is "partial 16S ribosomal RNA". It matches the Rfam family "Bacterial small subunit ribosomal RNA", at positions 30 to 523 of the family's 1533-position model. The record is from RNAcentral.
ACUGAACGCUGGCGGCAUGCCUUACACAUGCAAGUCGAACGGCAGCACGGGUGCUUGCACCUGGUGGCGAGUGGCGAACGGGUGAGUAAUAUAUCGGAACGUACCUUAUUGUGGGGGAUAACGCAGCGAAAGCUGUGCUAAUACCGCAUAAUCCCUAAGGGGGAAAGCGGGGGACCGUAAGGCCUCGCGCAAUUAGAGCGGCCGAUACCUGAUUAGCUAGUUGGUGAGGUAAAGGCUCACCAAGGCAACGAUCAGUAGCUGGUCUGAGAGGACGAUCAGCCACACUGGGACUGAGACACGGCCCAGACUCCUACGGGAGGCAGCAGUGGGGAAUUUUGGACAAUGGGGCAACCCUGAUCCAGCAAUGCCGCGUGAGUGAAGAAGGCCUUCGGGUUGUAAAGCUCUUUUGUCAGGGAAGAAACAGCAGCUCUAACACAGUUUGCGAAUGACGGUACCUGAAGAAUAAGCACCGGCUAACUACGUGCCAGCAGCCGCAGUAA